AUACGUAGGGGGCGAGCGUUGUCCGGAAUGAUUGGGCGUAAAGGGCGCGUAGGCGGCCUGUUAAGUCUGGAGUGAAAGUCCUGUUUUCAAGAUGGGAAUUGCUUUGGAUGCUGUCGGGCUUGAGUGCUGGAGAGGUAAGUGGAAUUCCCAGUGUAGCGGUGAAAUGCGUAGAGAUUGGGAGGAACACCAGUGGCGAAGGCGACUUACUGGACUGUAACUGACGCUGAGGCGCGAAAGUGUGGGGAGCAAACAGGAUUAGAUACCCUGGUAGUCCACACUGUAAACGAUGAAUGCUAGGUGUAGGGGGUAUCGACCCCUUCUGUGCCGCAGUCAACACAAUAAGCAUUCCGCCUGGGGAGUACGGCCGCAAGGUUGAAACUCAAAUGAAUUGACGGGG
RNAcentral lists this ribosomal RNA (397 nucleotides) under uncultured bacterium. Its description in RNAcentral is "partial 16S ribosomal RNA". It matches the Rfam family "Bacterial small subunit ribosomal RNA", at positions 523 to 918 of the family's 1533-position model. The record is from RNAcentral.